This 545-nucleotide ribosomal RNA is filed under the name uncultured bacterium. RNAcentral describes it as "bacterial SSU rRNA". It matches the Rfam family "Bacterial small subunit ribosomal RNA", at positions 355 to 916 of the family's 1533-position model. The record is from RNAcentral.
UGGGGAAUCUUGGACAAUGGGGGCAACCCUGAUCCAGCCAUGCCGCGUGAGUGAUGAAGGCCUUAGGGUCGUAAAGCUCUUUCGCCUGUGAAGAUAAUGACGGUAGCAGGUAAAGAAACCCCGGCUAACUCCGUGCCAGCAGCCGCGGUAAUACGGAGGGGACUAGCGUUGUUCGGAAUUACUGGGCGUAAAGAGUUCGUAGGCGGACUAGCAAGUUAGAGGUGAAAUCCCAGGGCUCAACCUUGGAACUGCCUUUAAAACUGCUAGUCUAGAGACCGGAAGAGGUUAGGGGAAUACCUAGUGUAGAGGUGAAAUUCGUAGAUAUUGGGAAGAACACCAGUGGCGAAGGCGGCUACCUGGACCGAUACUGACGCUGAGGCGCGAAAGCGUGGGGAGCAAACAGGAUUAGAAUACCCUGGUAGUCCACGCCGUAAACGAUGUCUGCUAGUCGUUGGGGAGCAUAGCUCUUCGGUGACGCAGCUAACGCAUUAAGCAGACCGCCUGGGGAGUACGGCCGCAAGGUUAAAACUCAAAUGAAUUGACGG